AUCAUAUAUUUAUAAUAUUAUCAUACAUUUAAAAUCAAAUAAAAUAAUAUCAUAUACCUUCUCACAUACACACCUAUCAAAAACUUAAAACCUUUCAAAACCUCUUGGUAUAUUCAAAUUAGGAUUCUUCAUUCAUGGAAUCAUUAUUCCAAGGGUUUUGAGAUGUCUUAUGAAAUGAUUUUGGCAGAAGAGGAUGUAAAAAAUUUCGAAUAAAAAGUAGUCAGCAAAACAUAUGUUUUUUUUGAAAAUUUUUAGAUAAUUAAAUCAGAGAAUAGGGUUGGACAUAUGAGUAACCCAUUCGAGUUCGGAUAGAACCCGUUCGGGUUUGAGAUUAAUGGUAUAUGAUUUACUACCCAAUAGAAUAAUUCUAAACAUAUGUUUUGUUGAUAUUAUCUAUAUUGUUUAGUGUUUAACAUUAUACACUUGUAGUUUGAUUGUUAAUUUAAGAGUUUCACAUGUAGUAUACCAUCUUGUAUUAAUAUCGAUCUAAACCCGUCAAUUCUAGGAUUUUCCAGCUUGUAUUAAAAAUUGAAUCACAUCUAAUAUGUUAUUAACUAUUGUAGUAUAUAAGAUUAUAAAUUUUCAAUAUAAUAUGUAUGAAAUUGAAUAUAAAUAUUUCAAAUUUAUGUCCCGUUACUCAGUAGAAAGUUUUCUUAAAUCUAUUUUUCACCCGUUAUAAUAUUAUUUCAUGUAUUGAACAAUUUAUAUUCGUUUUUAAAAAUUCAAAUUAUGGCAUAUGCGGAAAAACUCUAAUUAUUUUUUUAUAAUGAUGAUAUUAUUAUUCCGUAAAAAUAGAAUCAUAUAAAGAUGAGAAGUGAACUAUAAUAAUUAAUAAAAAA
Molecule: small RNA, 839 nt
Filed under: Arabidopsis thaliana (thale cress)
Lineage: Eukaryota; Viridiplantae; Streptophyta; Magnoliopsida; Brassicales; Brassicaceae
Description: ATSL148580
Source: RNAcentral